UACGGAGGAUCCGAGCGUUAUCCGGAAUUAUUGGGUUUAAAGGGUGCGUAGGCGGAUCGAUAAGUCAGUGGUGAAAGACGGUGGCUCAACCAUCGCAGUGCCGUUGAUACUGUUGAUCUUGAAUGUACUUGAGGUAGGCGGAAUGUGGCAAGUAGCGGUGAAAUGCAUAGAUAUGCCACAGAACACCGAUUGCGAAGGCAGCUUACUAAGGUAUGAUUGACGCUGAGGCACGAAAGCGUGGGGAUCGAACAGGAUUAGAUACCCUGGUAGUCCACGCCCUAAACGAUGAACACUCGGUGCCGGCGAUAGACGGUCGGCGCCCAAGCGAAAGCGUUAAGUGUUCCACCUGGGGAGUACGCCCGCAAGGGUGAA
RNAcentral lists this ribosomal RNA (372 nucleotides) under uncultured bacterium. Its description in RNAcentral is "bacterial SSU rRNA". It matches the Rfam family "Bacterial small subunit ribosomal RNA", at positions 524 to 898 of the family's 1533-position model. The record is from RNAcentral.